GCGGUGACAAGUGGUGGCAGGAAAAACCAAAACAAAACAGAAAUUAGGGAACUCGAAAAAUAAUAAUUUUUGAAGAGAUUUUCAGCAAGAAUUCAAGAUUAAAACCUUUGAAAGAUUGAGAGAAACAUGAUUGAAGAGAUCACCUAGCUUUAAAUAGGUUUGAAUUUGAUUUCUGACGGCCAAAAUAAAGAAGAAUCAUCGAUUAAACAAGAUG
This 214-nucleotide long non-coding RNA is filed under the name Elaeis guineensis (African oil palm). Its description in RNAcentral is "long non-coding RNA (EGUI_LNC024052)". The record is from RNAcentral. Lineage: Eukaryota; Viridiplantae; Streptophyta; Magnoliopsida; Arecales; Arecaceae.